CGCGGGGUGGAGCAGUUGGCAGCUCGUCGGGCUCAUAACCCGAAGGUCGAAGGUUCAAGUCCUUCCUCCGCAA
Molecule: transfer RNA, 73 nt
Filed under: Peptostreptococcus sp. D1
Lineage: Bacteria; Bacillati; Bacillota; Clostridia; Peptostreptococcales; Peptostreptococcaceae
Rfam family: tRNA
About the family: Transfer RNA (tRNA) molecules are approximately 80 nucleotides in length. Their secondary structure includes four short double-helical elements and three loops (D, anti-codon, and T loops). Further hydrogen bonds mediate the characteristic L-shaped molecular structure. tRNAs have two regions of fundamental functional importance: the anti-codon, which is responsible for specific mRNA codon recognition, and the 3' end, to which the tRNAs corresponding amino acid is attached (by aminoacyl-tRNA synthetases). tRNAs cope with the degeneracy of the genetic code in two manners: having more than one tRNA (with a specific anti-codon) for a particular amino acid; and 'wobble' base-pairing, i.e. permitting non-standard base-pairing at the 3rd anti-codon position.
Source: Rfam by way of RNAcentral